Molecule: ribosomal RNA, 1052 nt
Filed under: uncultured bacterium
Lineage: Bacteria
Description: bacterial SSU rRNA
Rfam family: Bacterial small subunit ribosomal RNA
Source: RNAcentral
AGCGCAAGCAUGAUCCAGCCAAACAGCGGGGGUGAUGAAGGCCUUCCCCCCUGUAAAGCACUUUCAGUUGGGAGGAAGGAUUGUGUGUUAAUAGUACACAGCCUUGACGUUACCAACAGAAGAAGCACCGGCUAACUCUGUGCCAGCAGCCGCGGUAAUACAGAGGGUGCAAGCGUUAAUCGGAAUUACUGGGUGUAAAGCGCACGUAGGCGGUUUUUUAAGUCAGAUGUGAAAGCCCCGGGCUCAACCUGGGAAUUGCAUUUGAAACUGGAAAACUAGAGUGUGUGAGAGGGGGGUAGAAUUCCAAGUGUAGCGGUGAAAUGCGUAGAGAUUUGGAGNGNANANUACCAGNUGGCGAAGGCGGCCCCCUGGCACAACACUGACGCUCAGGUGCGAAAGCGUGGGGAGCAAACAGGAUUAGAUACCCUGGUAGUCCACGCCGUAAACGAUGUCGACUAGCCGUUGGGAUCCUUGAGAUCUUAGUGGCGCAGCUAACGCAUUAAGUCGACCGCCUGGGGAGUACGGCCGCAANGNGUUAAAACUCAAAUGAAUUGACGGGGGCCCGCACAAGCGGUGGAGCAUGUGGUUUAAUUCGAUGCAACGCGAAGAACCUUACCUACUCUUGACAUCCAGAGAACUUUCCAGAGAUGGAUUGGUGCCUUCGGGAACUCUGAGACAGGUGCUGCAUGGCUGUCGUCAGCUCGUGUUGUGAAAUGUUGGGUUAAGUCCCGCAACGAGCGCAACCCUUAUCCUUUGUUGCCAGCGGUCCGGCCGGGAACUCAAAGGAGACUGCCAGUGAUAAACUGGAGGAAGGUGGGGAUGACGUCAAGUCAUCAUGGCCCUUACGAGUAGGGCUACACACGUGCUACAAUGGCGCAUACAAAGAGAAGCGACCUCGCGAGAGCAAGCGGACCUCAUAAAGUGCGUCGUAGUCCGGAUUGGAGUCUGCAACUCGACUCCAUGAAGUCGGAAUCGCUAGUAAUCGUAGAUCAGAAUGCUACGGUGAAUACGUUCCCGGGCCUUGUACACACCGCCCGUCACACCAUGGGAGU